GGGGUCGUGGUGUAACGGCAGCACUUCGGACUUUUAAUCCGGCAGGUGUGGGUUCGAAUCCCGCCGGCCCCA
This 72-nucleotide transfer RNA is filed under the name Planctomycetaceae bacterium. RNAcentral describes it as "tRNA-Lys". It matches the Rfam family "tRNA". Rfam says of the family: Transfer RNA (tRNA) molecules are approximately 80 nucleotides in length. Their secondary structure includes four short double-helical elements and three loops (D, anti-codon, and T loops). Further hydrogen bonds mediate the characteristic L-shaped molecular structure. tRNAs have two regions of fundamental functional importance: the anti-codon, which is responsible for specific mRNA codon recognition, and the 3' end, to which the tRNAs corresponding amino acid is attached (by aminoacyl-tRNA synthetases). tRNAs cope with the degeneracy of the genetic code in two manners: having more than one tRNA (with a specific anti-codon) for a particular amino acid; and 'wobble' base-pairing, i.e. permitting non-standard base-pairing at the 3rd anti-codon position. The record is from RNAcentral. Lineage: Bacteria; Pseudomonadati; Planctomycetota; Planctomycetia; Planctomycetales; Planctomycetaceae.